AUCCUGGCUCAGGAUGAACGCUAGCGGCGGGCUUAAUACAUGCAAGUCGUGGGGCAGCAUGAGUAGCAAUACUUGAUGGCGACCGGCAAACGGGUGAGGAACACGUACACAACCUUCCUUCAAGCGGGGAAUAGCCCAGAGAAAUUUGGAUUAAUACCCCAUAAUAUAUUUGAUAAGGCAUCUUAUUAAUAUUAAAGCUUCGGCACUUGAUGAUGGGUGUGCGGCUGAUUAGAUAGUUGGCGGGGUAACGGCCCACCAAGUCUACGAUCAGUAGCUGAUGUGAGAGCAUGAUCAGCCACACGGGCACUGAGACACGGGCCCGACUCCUACGGGAGGCAGCAGUAAGGAAUAUUGGACAAUGGACGAAAGUCUGAUCCAGCCAUGCCGCGUGAAGGAUUAAGGUCCUCUGGAUUGUAAACUUCUUUUAUAUGGGACGAAAAAGGGCAUUCUUGUUCACUUGACGGUACCAUAUGAAUAAGCACCGGCUAACUCCGUG
This 496-nucleotide ribosomal RNA is filed under the name uncultured bacterium. RNAcentral describes it as "bacterial SSU rRNA". It matches the Rfam family "Bacterial small subunit ribosomal RNA", at positions 16 to 507 of the family's 1533-position model. The record is from RNAcentral.